UACGUAGGGGGCAAGCGUUAUCCGGAUUUACUGGGUGUAAAGGGAGCGUAGACGGCAAGGCAAGUCUGAAGUGAAAACCCGGUGCUUAACGCCGGGACUGCUUUGGAAACUGUUUAGCUGGAGUGCCGGAGAGGUAAGCGGAAUUCCUAGUGUAGCGGUGAAAUGCGUAGAUAUUAGGAAGAACACCAGUGGCGAAGGCGGCUUACUGGACGGUAACUGACGUUGAGGCUCGAAAGCGUGGGGAGCAAACAGG
RNAcentral lists this ribosomal RNA (253 nucleotides) under Fusicatenibacter saccharivorans. RNAcentral's name for it is "partial 16S ribosomal RNA". It matches the Rfam family "Bacterial small subunit ribosomal RNA", at positions 524 to 776 of the family's 1533-position model. Lineage: Bacteria; Bacillati; Bacillota; Clostridia; Lachnospirales; Lachnospiraceae. The record is from RNAcentral.